GUGCUCGCUUCUGCAGCACAUAUACUAAAAUGGAACGAUACAGAGAAGAUUAGCAUGGCCCCUGCGCAAGGAUGACACGCAAUUCGUGAAGCGUUAAAUAAAUAU
Molecule: small nuclear RNA, 105 nt
Filed under: Microcebus murinus (gray mouse lemur)
Lineage: Eukaryota; Metazoa; Chordata; Mammalia; Primates; Cheirogaleidae
Source: RNAcentral